Molecule: long non-coding RNA, 229 nt
Filed under: Cicer arietinum (chickpea)
Lineage: Eukaryota; Viridiplantae; Streptophyta; Magnoliopsida; Fabales; Fabaceae
Description: long non-coding RNA (CARI_LNC002435)
Source: RNAcentral
CCCACGCCUUGACCUACGCCACAUUGUGAAUUCUCAUCUUGAGACUAAACCAAUACACCCCCUAAUUAACUAAACAAACCUCUUUUUGAUCCGACAUGUUUGUCUUCAAAAUCAGCUUCAUUAUGCACUAACAAAAAAUAAACAUGUGUGUCCCAUAAGAAGGCACCAUAGAAUAAUUGGAGAGAAUAUUCCAAAGACUGACUAUUCACUGUUACUCCACCGAACCCGG